Molecule: long non-coding RNA, 500 nt
Organism: Oreochromis niloticus (Nile tilapia)
Lineage: Eukaryota; Metazoa; Chordata; Actinopteri; Cichliformes; Cichlidae
Exons: 4
Source: RefSeq, a predicted model, not a curated record
UUAAUAUUCUUCUCACUUAGAAAGUGAUCAAACUGAUGGCAGCCUUGGAGCGUUGCAGGCACGAAUAGAGGAGCUUGUCGUCAUCAUCAGAGUGCGAACACAAAGUCUUUACAGACAAAAUGAUAGCAACAAGAGGCGACACAGAAUUCGCAAGGUCAUCUUAGUUGAGAAGAAACGCUUGGCGGCUGCUGUUGACGACUACAACAAGAUUGCUGAACCAACAAAACAAAUCGUAUCAAGCGAUGCCCUCAUCCAGACUGAUAUUUGGCCCUGGCAGAGCACAAGUGAACCUGCUGCUGACCUCCAGACAAAGAGAAAGGUCUUUGAGAAGGUGAUGGCUGUGAGGCGCCUGAGAGAGGAGGAGAUGAUCCUUUGCAGGGAGAUGCGGCAUCACUGGACAGUGUUGCGAAUGCGAUCUGUGGUGUUGGGGACAAUCUCCUCAGACUCCUCCCUUGUUGGCAUGUCGGAGGAUGCACAGAAGGGACUCUGUAGCCUGGUUU